Molecule: ribosomal RNA, 254 nt
Filed under: uncultured bacterium
Lineage: Bacteria
Description: partial 16S ribosomal RNA
Rfam family: Bacterial small subunit ribosomal RNA
Source: RNAcentral
UACGUAGGGGGCAAGCGUUGUCCGGAUUUAUUGGGCGUAAAGAGCUCGUAGGCGGUUUCGUAAGUCGGGUGUGAAAACUCUGGGCUCAACCCAGAGACGCCACCCGAUACUGCGAUGACUAGAGUCUGGUAGGGGAUCGUGGAAUUCCUGGUGUAGCGGUGAAAUGCGCAGAUAUCAGGAGGAACACCAGCGGCGAAGGCGGGUCUCUGGGCAACAACUGACGCUGAGGAGCGAAAGCGUGGGGAGCGAACAGG